UCUGAGUAUGCGAGUAUAUUUACAGCAAACUUCAUCCAGAGCAUAACCGAGCACAGAGAGGACCAACAUGAAAGUGUGAUAAAUCCUGUCAGCACAAAUUUGGUGACUGAUCACUGACCCCCAAAAUGACACUGUGAGAUGUGAGAUGAAGGUUUUCUUGCUUGCCGAGCUACAAAAGAUGUGUGAAUGGACCCCGACGAGACAGAAAAGAUAGGAGCUUCCAGAGGACUAAGCACUACCAGAAGGACAUGAUCUAUUGAUGAACGAUUUUAUCGCCUCUUCUCCGGACCAUAGGGAGGUCAGAGGGCGCUGGCAGUAAAUAUCUGAUCUGAAGAAGAAUCCCCUUGGGGCGAGUGGGGAGUCACUCAAGUUUUAAUUUUCAAAUGUGAGAGUGAAUUGAUAUGAUAUUCUAUUCCUCUGUGUUGUUUCUUAGUUAAUAGCAUGUAUACAUCUAAUAUAUAGACACGGUCUGUGUAUAUUAAUUGCUGGCUUCUUAACUUAUUUGUCAUGUCUAAGGCAAUUAUGUGGAUUAUGAAAGGCAGGGGCCUCAGGCCUUGCUCUUUCCCACUGUGGAAACUUGCAUGGCACAUUUGUGUAACUGUGAGUGUUAAGCAAGCUGUUUCUAAAGGGCCUUUUGCAUAACCUGCCAUGCCACCUACACAGUACAGGAGAGUAGAUAAGGGGUUAUUUAAGCAAAUAACAAUGAUCUUAUCACAGAGGAGGCUUUCUCUGCUGAGAAUAUAGUAGCAGCAACUGCUGGCACACCACAAUUAAAAUUAUUUAAACAAACCUAAACUGCAGGGUAAAAGAUGAAAACCAGGAAAUGACGAAAUCAUAUUGCAGGCCAGGAAGAAAGGCAGAGACAGUCGGAUUGAAUCAGAGCGUGAGAGAGCAGUGUAAGAGGGUAGCAGCUCACAGAAUUCAGAAGGUCUUGACAUUUGGGAUGAUUGUAAAAAAAAAUGGGCAUGAGCUGGGCCUAGGGGCAAAUAGCUGCUAUAACAUGUCAAAGAAUGUGCAUGUCAAGCCUACACUUGUUAAACAGAGAUGAUUUCACAGAUAUUCACACAGCAGGGCACACACACACAAGCACACACAAGCAAACAAAAGCUACUCAUACCCAUAGUUUUACUGCCCUCUGCUGCUUUCUUUAAUUAUAUGAGCAAGAUCUAUACAACCUCUAAAUUCACUACAAUGCAUAUAUACAACCAGAAUACUGUAAACAAAGCUGUGUUUUCUACUGAGUCCGGCUGUAUUUGUAAGUAAAAUGAGAUUUAUCUUUUCUUUGACUACCACCAUAAUCAAAGCUCAUCAGAGCGCGUUUGUGUGUCUAUCUGUCUGUCUGUCUGUCUGCCUGCCUGCCUGCCUGCCUGCCUGCUGCUCCCCUCUGCUGGGUUCUCCAUGAUACUUCAGCUUCACAUAGGGUGAGUAUCUCUCCCUUAUUAGACAAUCAAGUAUCUAUCUGAUAAAUGGGCCACGAUAAGAUUCAGAGAAGAUACGUUUUAAAUUGACGUGAUUCGGAGCGAUUCAAUAUAAUAUGAUGCAAUCUGACACGAUUUCUAUUUAAUGUAGACAUUAAUUUGCCCUAAUAAAUUUGAAGAAAGCAAUUAUGUUAAAGCAUUGCUUAGCUUCACAUAGAUAUUUCAUAAAAGAGAAUGCCAUGUAUUUUUCGUUCAUUUAAUUUACCUUUAUCUUAUUGACUUUAUCUUAAUUACUUGAAUGGGCAAAGAUGGACAAAAAGACUUGAGGCUUACUGCAUGAACAAACAUUUUUAACAUUAAGAAUAUGAGGCCAAGUCUUUCUGGCACCCCCAUGCCCAGGUGCCUCAUUUUGGCAGUUAGUUGCAUGGAGAAAUAUAAAAAAAAGUCUUAGCCUCUGUAGCCCCGGUUGUUUCUUGUUUUUUAAUAGUCAUUAAAAGGCAGACUUAAGAGAACAGACUAACAUUAUGAAGAUAACAUUGUUUAAUCUCCUGAACGGUGCCCCUUUGAUGGAGGAUAUUCACCACUCCUAACCUCAAAGUCUAGCCUCACUACCUUAUUCUACCACUGCUUAUUGCUCUUUGGUGAAUUCACUUUACAGCUCCCUGGCUUUGUCCUCCUUUUGGAAGUAUUUCUGUCUCGCUCUAUAAAAACAGAAUUGUGCCUUUUGGGAAAGAAUCAUUUUGAGUUUGUUCCUUAGUCUACAGAGCCUAAUCAGAUUUAUGCAAAUCUCAUUAGUUUGUGAUUUUGUCUGUGAAUGAUGUCCCCUUUUCAAACACCUGUCAGAUUUAUUUUAAAACGAGUUAACAUAUCAAACUAAAUAUGAGACAAUGUUUUCUGUUAUAUUUAGAUUAUAUAUAUCUUAUAUUUAAUCUUUCUAAAGGGUGUGUUUUACUACAUUUGUUGUGGCAAUCUCAGUUCAAUCUCUCGAGAUUUACAUUUAAAUACAUGUCUGUUAAUUACUAUUGCCAAAUGAGGUAAUACAAUGUAAUUUAAAUAUUUAUGUUUUUGCAGUAUUACAACCUGGAAGAAAAAUUCUGUAUUAUGUUUCUGCAAAUAUAAUAUCUUUAAAAAGAUCUGCAUGUAAAUGCAGAAUGCUAAAUGUUUGCCAGAUGGUAGCCAAGGCAUUCUGAGAUUGCCAUUAAUGAAUAGUGAACAUUUCGUUCUAAUGACUUCAAUUACAAAAAAAUGAAAGGAAAUGCAAUUUGUUUGUCAAUAAACUUAGCACAUAUUACUAUCAUUUAUCAAAAAUGCAUCUACAAAAAAGGACAACGGUAUUUUUCAGAGGAUCAGAUUGAAAUAUGCCAUGAUGCCAUCAGGUCAAGCAAGGCAAGUAGUGCUUAACAAGUUAAAGCUCAAAAUAGACAUCAAUGUGGAAGCGAUGUCUUUUCUCACAUCAGAUUUCAGAACAGCAUUCUGUCCAAUAAAGGAUCUCAAAUUCUUUGUUUGCAUUCAUUUUGUUAUUUACUGCCAGCUUGCGGCAGACGCAGGCUAUUGUGCCUGGAAGCUAGCAAGACUUCCAGCUGAUGCUCCUAAAUGUAAAUAGAACGUUGUUUGUAAUCAUCUUUAUUUAGAAAUUUAAUGAAUACAGUCUUAAAAGUCUGUGAUGAUGGACAACUAGCUCAGCAGUCAAGAGACUAAACACUGAAGAGAAUCUUUAAAAAGUUGUAAUUACAAACACCUUUAAGACAAUCCAACACAAAUCCAGCCACAAAAAUCAUCUUAGAGCUGAGCUAAAACAGUAUAAUAUUCACAAAGAUCUGUUUUUUCUGGCUAUUGUAUUUUGUACAAUACCUUGUGUGGGUUGGUGUACCUAAAAUACCCGGAGAUCAGUGUGCCUGGUACUGUUCUCUAAGCAGACAAAAAACAAAUAUCUCCACUUUUGGAAAGGACAUAAGUCAAUCAUCAGCUCUUAUGUACAGUAGGUCAUACUGUACAUUGGUGAGGCCG
Molecule: long non-coding RNA, 3425 nt
Organism: Scophthalmus maximus (turbot)
Lineage: Eukaryota; Metazoa; Chordata; Actinopteri; Pleuronectiformes; Scophthalmidae
Exons: 3
Source: RefSeq, a predicted model, not a curated record